This 483-nucleotide ribosomal RNA is filed under the name uncultured Acinetobacter sp. RNAcentral's name for it is "bacterial SSU rRNA". It matches the Rfam family "Bacterial small subunit ribosomal RNA", at positions 30 to 505 of the family's 1533-position model. The record is from RNAcentral. Lineage: Bacteria; Pseudomonadati; Pseudomonadota; Gammaproteobacteria; Moraxellales; Moraxellaceae.
AUUGAACGCUGGCGGCAGGCUUAACACAUGCAAGUCGAGCGGGGUGAAGUGCUUCGGUACUGAUCCUAGCGGCGGACGGGUGAGUAAUGCUUAGGAAUCUGCCAUUUAGUGGGGGACAACAUUCCGAAAGGGAUGCUAAUACCGCAUACGUCCUACGGGAGAAAGCAGGGGAUCUUCGGACCUUGCGCUAAAUGAUGAGCCUAAGUCGGAUUAGCUAGUUGGUGGGGUAAAGGCCUACCAAGGCGACGAUCUGUAGCGGGUCUGAGAGGAUGAUCCGCCACACUGGGACUGAGACACGGCCCAGACUCCUACGGGAGGCAGCAGUGGGGAAUAUUGGACAAUGGGGGGAACCCUGAUCCAGCCAUGCCGCGUGUGUGAAGAAGGUCUUUUGGUUGUAAAGCACUUUAAGCGAGGAGGAGGCUACUGAGACUAAUACUCUUGGAUAGUGGACGUUACUCGCAGAAUAAGCACCGGCUAACUCUG